AUAUCAGUCAUGCAUAGCAUAUCAAUAAGCGGAGGAAAAGAAACUAACAAGGAUUCCCUUAGUAACGGCGAGUGAAGCGGGAAGAGCUCAAAUUUGAAAUCUUCAAGGUUCUACCUUGACGAAUUGUAGUUUAUAAGAAGUGUUUUCUGUUAGUGAGUCUGGCUAAAAGUUCUUUGGAAUAGGACAUCAUAGAGGGUGAGAAUCCCGUAUUUGGUCAUUCCUCCUAGCGUUGUGAUACACUUUCAACGAGUCGGAUUGUUUGGGAAUGCAGUCCAAAAUGGGUGGUAAAUUUCAUCUAAAGCUAAAUAUUGGCGAGAGACCGAUAGCGAACAAGUACCGUGAGGGAAAGAUGAAAAGAACUUUGAAAAGAGAGUUAAACAGUACGUGAAAUUGUCAAAAGGGAAGCGUUUGACACCAGUGUUGUUUUCUCGAAAAUCAAUUAAAAUAAUGCUUGAUUUUGUGUUGUAUUGACCUUAAUCGCUUUCUUCACUUUUUUCAUGUCUUUUUUAAUGCACUUUUCGUUUAACAAGUCAACAUCAAUUUCUUUUGUUGUAAAAGGGUUAUUGGAAGGUGGCUUUCUCUUCGGAGAAAGUGUUUAUAGCCUUUGGCCUCUGCAAUCGGAGAGAUUGAGGUCUGCAGCGUAGAUCCUUCGGGGUUAGAUGCAUUUGUGCUAAGUUAUAGCCUUUCAUAGACAACUUGUUGACUAUGAUCAGUCAUGUAGCUUACUCGCUUAUGUCAUUUUACCUACGCUUAGGAUGUUGAUGUGAUACUGCGAGCA
RNAcentral lists this ribosomal RNA (778 nucleotides) under uncultured Neocallimastigales. Its description in RNAcentral is "partial large subunit ribosomal RNA". It matches the Rfam family "Eukaryotic large subunit ribosomal RNA", at positions 22 to 634 of the family's 3401-position model. The record is from RNAcentral. Lineage: Eukaryota; Fungi; Neocallimastigomycota; Neocallimastigomycetes; Neocallimastigales.